CAAUGGUUUCUGUGUCAGCACGCCCACACCAGGCCACAACAAUGGCCACCGCCAAUGUCCCAGUCCCUGGAGAGAUCUCACCUCUCACCGAGAUGCACUCAGGGCCUAUUAGGAAAAGGCUGGAUUGACAGCUUUUGAUUUUAUUUUCCUCAAACAGAAGAUAAGAGGCAAGAUAUAAACAAGGAUCCCCUUUUAAUGUUCUGCAAUUCUUGACCUCCUUCUAUUUCAGAGGCGAUGGAGAAGGGUCAGCCAAGGUGCUUUGUGAGCUUCUGGGAAAAAAGAAACGGAAGGCUGGCCAGGGCCCUGGUGUGGAUUCUUAACAGCUGGUGAAUGUGCCUGGAGGUGCUUUCUGUCCCCCUGCACUGCUGGAGCCCAGAGAAUAGCAAAGGGGAUCCCUUGGGAAAGAGUUGAACAGUUUCGCUUUUUAUGUAGCAUUUUGUGUCAUUAAAAGUUUGGAUAAUUUUCACUUGGUGUUCACAAUAAAGUGCUCUCAAU
Diceros bicornis minor is the source of this 495-nucleotide long non-coding RNA. RefSeq lists it as uncharacterized. Lineage: Eukaryota; Metazoa; Chordata; Mammalia; Perissodactyla; Rhinocerotidae. The transcript is spliced from 3 exons. The record is from RefSeq and is a predicted model, not a curated record.